This 2987-nucleotide unclassified non-coding RNA is filed under the name Priapulus caudatus. RNAcentral's name for it is "eLMO domain-containing protein 2-like, transcript variant X1". The record is from RNAcentral. Lineage: Eukaryota; Metazoa; Priapulida; Priapulimorpha; Priapulimorphida; Priapulidae.
CCGUGUAAUUGUGUAUUUCUUUGGCAGCUACUUAGGCUAGCUUAGCAAAUAUGUUGUUAUUUAUUUAUUAUCUUUAUGCGGAUUACGGGACAAUCCCGAAUAGUAUUUUAUAACAUUGAGUUUAUACGUUUUACACACAAGAUUGACAUAUAUCAAUUUGCAUCACGGUUUAACCGAAACUGGAAAGUGACUGAGACAGGUCACAGAGUGAGAGUAAAUGUGAAUAUAAUCCCCGCACUUCGAUGAAUCGAGUGUCUUGUGAAAUACAAGAGAGGGAGCCAAGAUACAAGAUUGUGUAUGUGACUUAUGUACCGUUGAACUAGCUCCAAGAAACGGACUUGCUAGGGUUAGAGACAAUCGGUCGCUCGUCGGGCUACCGUUGUACGUGUGGUGCCAGGUGUGCAUCACUGGCGUGCGGUAUACUAUAUACUAUAGACGCAUAUCACACAACUAUUCUCUUGAAGAUAAAAAGUUCACAACUAGCCAGUAACACGAGCGACCAUGGCACCUCAACAUAAAUCUUCAAUCUGGUUCUAUGCCACCUCUUGGCUAAGCUAUUUCUUCUGGCACAUGUUUAAAUGGCUCCUAAGGAGAAUUACUGGAAAAUGUGAAUUACAGCGAAUUUGUUACAACCAUCGGGAAGGAGCACCCAGAACUAUGAGAAUUGAAAAAUCACUGAGAUGUUCCAAAAGUACAUUACUACAAAAUGUGCUGUCGAGAGAGCAACAUGGCAGUGUGCAGGAGUGUGUUUCACAGGUGAUGAAGCUAAAAGUCAUCAAUCAAGAAGCACAUCCAAUAUUUGCUCUAAGAUUUGGGCAAUGCCUUGAGCAGAUCUGGUCUUACCAAGCACUGGUGAAGGAGGUGGAGAUGACCCGGCUACUGCGGUACGAUUCCCUUAAUGAAACUCAUGAAACACUUCUGAUGGAGCUGUGGUGUAAGCUAGUACCUGAAAGACAACUACCUAGCAGGAUUACCAAGGAAUGGUCAUAUAUUGGGUUUCAAGGAGAUGACCCAGCAACAGACUUUCGAGGCAUGGGCAUGCUGGGUCUUCAUAAUUUGCUGUUCUUUGCAUCACAGUAUAGAAAUGCUGCACGUCACGUUCUCCAGCGGUCACAUCACCCCAAGUUUCGAUAUUCUCUCGCAAUAGUGGGAAUCAAUAUAACAAGUAUGGCCUAUCACUUGUUGUGCUGCGGUGCACUUAAAAAUCAUAUGUACAACACUGUGAUUGGAGCUCCGUCACUUCUACACUUUCAUCUGACAUACAGUUACUUGCUGUACGAAUUCGACAAGUUCUGGUUUGCCGAGGAACCGGCAGACAUCAUGGAGUUCAGCCGGGUGCGCGAGAAAUUCCUCAGUCAAGUCUCAGAGUACUUACAGAGCGAAUAUGCAAGGCUGAAACUUGACAUUAGUGAUGAGAACAUGCUUGCGCCCGAUCAGGGUUAGGAUCUUGUAAAGCCUAUUGCCUUAAUUAGUUGCCAUUGUUUCUGUUCUUGUUCCCAUUAUAAUCCUUGUCAUUAUUUUGUACAGCGUUGUCCUUGCUAGAGUAUUUAUUACCAUGAAUGUGUUCAUUUGUGAACACACAAUUUCACAUGUAGCCUGUAACAUCGGUGCCUCGUAUGGAACUGUCAAAUGCGUCAUCAAAUGAGUGAUGUAGCCCAUAGUUGGAAUGUUAUUGCAGCGUUAAUUAAAUGUUAAGUAAUUUAUUUGCAAAUAAGUCAUGCAUUACGAUGCAACAAUGAUCUCUUAUGUCUUAAAAAUCCUUGAUCUUUUAUUAUGUCAUUAAAUUGUAAACUUCAUAUAAAACUGUGUUAUGAAGUGUAGUUUAGUUACCCAGCUAAACUAGGUAAUUAUAUUUGAGCCAUUUCAUUCAUAAACUUAUUUUAACAUAAUCGUGAAUUAUGUCAGGUCAGGAUUAAAGCAGCUAUAGCCAAGAAUGUUCACUUUUAUUUUUCUGCAUUUGAUUUAUUAAGGAACAGCAUGUUACCAUUAAGAAAAAAAUGUAUAAAUAUGUUGGUGUCAGUGAUGACAUCAGAUCACACAUGUUCACCCCACACUUCCUCAGACAAGCCAAUGUGUUCCCUAGCAACUGCUGCACAAUAGCGCACAAGCAACCCCAUGCUUCACAGAAUGGAGCAUCCUUUUUCUUCCCCGCCCUCUGCCUGAACUACAAUCUGACGUGUGUGGGAACAUGCUGUCAUGUUUACCGGUGUCAUUUCUUUAUGAAAAAGGAUUACAGUAUUAUGUUAUAUAGAUGAUUAGGAGCGUUUGAUUUUAUUCACUCCUGAAAUAAUUACACCUUGCUCAUUGGAAAUAUCUGGUUGUACUGCUUUAUCUACUAUAAACUCAGAAAAGAUAUGUUUAUUCAUUUUUGCAAUGAAUGGUUGCACUCAUGUUAAAAAUAAUUUGCAGGAUACAGAUUACAGUAUGCUAUUGAAGUGUGUGGCCGUUUUUUUGGAACGAGUUGUGAUACACAUUAUGUGAUUGUAGUCAAUUUGUAUGUACUUCUUAAUUAUAUUUAAUGUUUACAUUCUUUUUCACAAUGGUGGCUAAUUCUUCAUAAUGUAUAUAUGUAUGUGUGUAUGUAUGUACUAUAUAUAUAUAUAUAUAUAACACAUAUAUCACAAUAUCUAUUCACGCUAUUAAGCAUCUGCAUGUGGUGUUUACUUGAUAACAGAUAUUACUCGGACACCAUAACUUUGAUGCAUUUAGAUGAAUUCUGUAAUGUGAAAAAGAGCUUGCCUUCCUAAAAAAUCCAAAUCAGUUUACACCAAUGUGAACAGUUAUUGAAGCAACGCAGUGCAUAGUAAAUACUGUGUAAUUUGUUAAUUAAUUGCUUGUUUAUGUGGUAUGUGCUAUCAUCCCAUAGUACUCGUGGCAAGGCCAUUAAGAUAUAUAUAUAUAUUCAAUAAAUGUAUAUCACAAACCCAUAUUAUUCAUGUCUAGCAAAUAAACCAAAGUUAAAAAUAAUACACAAAUAAUACACUAAA